UACAGAGGGUGCGAGCGUUAAUCGGAAUGACUGGGCGUAAAGGGCGCGUAGGUGGUUUGUUAAGAUCGAUGUGAAAUCCCUGGGCUUAACCUAGGAAGGCCAUUGAAGACUGGCAAGCUGGAGUACUGUAGAGGGUAGUGGAAUUUCCGGUGUAGCGGUGAAAUGCGUAGAGAUCGGAAGGAACACCAGUGGCGAAGGCGGCUACCUGGACAGAUACUGACACUGAGGCGCGAGAGCGUGGGGAGCAAACAGG
This 253-nucleotide ribosomal RNA is filed under the name uncultured bacterium. Its description in RNAcentral is "partial 16S ribosomal RNA". It matches the Rfam family "Bacterial small subunit ribosomal RNA", at positions 524 to 776 of the family's 1533-position model. The record is from RNAcentral.